AUUGAACGCUGGCGGCAGGCUUAACACAUGCAAGUCGAGCGGUAACAGAGAGAAGCUUGCUUCUCUGCUGACGAGCGGCGGACGGGUGAGUAAUGCCUAGGAAUCUGCCUAGUAGUGGGGGAUAACUUGCCGAAAGGUAAGCUAAUACCGCAUACGUCCUACGGGAGAAGGGAGGGGACCUUCGGGCCUUUCGCUAUCAGAUGAGCCUAGGUCGGAUUAGUUAGUUGGUGAGGUAAUGGCUCACCAAGACCGCGAUCCGUAACUGGUCUGAGAAGAUGAUCAGUCACACUGGAACUGAGACACGGUCCAGACUGCUACGGGAGGCAGCAGUGGGGAAUAUUGGACAAUGGGGGGAACCCUGAUCCAGCCAUGCCGCGUGUGUGAAGAAGGUCUUAGGAUUGUAAAGCACUUUAAGUUGGGAGGAAGAGCAGUUAACUAAUAUUUGACUGUUUUGACGUUACCGACAGAAUAAGCACCGGCUAACUUCGUGCCAGCCGCCGCGGUAA
This 506-nucleotide ribosomal RNA is filed under the name uncultured bacterium. RNAcentral describes it as "partial 16S ribosomal RNA". It matches the Rfam family "Bacterial small subunit ribosomal RNA", at positions 30 to 523 of the family's 1533-position model. The record is from RNAcentral.